This 491-nucleotide long non-coding RNA is filed under the name Canis lupus familiaris (dog). Its description in RNAcentral is "lncRNA (ENSCAFG00845028245.1)". The record is from RNAcentral. Lineage: Eukaryota; Metazoa; Chordata; Mammalia; Carnivora; Canidae.
GAGGUUUAAAAGGAAGAGAUGAAUUUCUUUAGACCAAAUAAAAAUGAUCCCUCACGCUUGUCUAGAGCUUAAAGGAGUCACUGCAUAGAAGUGAUUUUAUCUGAAAGUGGAGGGGAAAAGAGAAAUUGUACAUGGACACUUCCCUCACCCUGGCAUUUCCUAUUGAAGCCCAGAAACUCUGGAAAUAGGAGAAAGACAGAUCCUGCAUGACCCACGGUGCCUUCUCACUUCCUGCUGGAGUUAUUGCAAAAGGAAUCCAGGAGACAAUGGGGCUGCUGAACACUUUCCGGAAUCGGGGCAUGCCUGCUAUGGCCACACAAGACCAGCUGCUCUACAAAGGAGCCCGUGAGCCAAAGAGGAAAACUUUGAAGAUAAAUAUUGCCAUAUGUGAAGAGAAAAAGAAAAAAAUCCCAACAAACCUUAAUUGCACGGAGCAUCGUUUUCCAAUGCUAUUUGCCGUGGGAAUAAAGGAUUUCUUGUUGUGACCCAUG